Molecule: non-coding RNA, 888 nt
Filed under: Trichomonas vaginalis G3
Lineage: Eukaryota; Parabasalia; Trichomonadida; Trichomonadidae
Description: Eukaryotic small subunit ribosomal RNA
Rfam family: Eukaryotic small subunit ribosomal RNA
Source: Rfam by way of RNAcentral
UCGGGGGUAGAUCUAUCUCAUGACGAGUGGUGGAAUACUUUGACUCAUGAGAGAGAAGCUGAGGCGAAGGCGUCUACCUAGAGGGUUUCUGUCGAUCAAGGGCGAGAGUAGGAGUAUCCAACAGGAUUAGAGACCCUGGUAGUUCCUACCUUAAACGAUGCCGACAGGAGUUUGUCAUUUGUUAAUGGCAGAAUCUUUGGAGAAAUCAUAGUUCUUGGGCUCUGGGGGAACUACGACCGCAAGGCUGAAACUUGAAGGAAUUGACGGAAGGGCACACCAGGGGUGGAGCCUGUGGCUUAAUUUGAAUCAACACGGGGAAACUUACCAGGACCAGAUGUUUUUUAUGACUGACAGGCUUCGGGUCUUUCAGGAUAUUGUUUUUGGUGGUGCAUGGCCGUUGGUGGUGCGUGGGUUGACCUGUCUAGCGUUGAUUCAGCUAACGAGCGAGAUUAUCGCCAAUUAUUUACUUUGCCGAAGUCCUUCGGUUAAAGUUCUAAUUGGGACUCCCUGCGAUUUUAGCAGGUGGAAGAGGGUAGCAAUAACAGGUCCGUGAUGCCCUUUAGAUGCUCUGGGCUGCACGCGUGCUACAAUGUUAGGAUCAAUAGGACUGCGAGCCUGAGAGGGUGCGCUACUCUUAUAAUCCCUAACGUAGUUGGGAUUGACGUUUGUAAUCAGCGUCAUGAACCAGGAAUCCCUUGUAAAUGUGUGUCAACAACGCACGUUGAAUACGUCCCUGCCCUUUGUACACACCGCCCGUCGCUCCUACCGAUUGGAUGACUCGGUGAAAUCACCGGAUGCUUACGAGCAGAAAGUGAUUAAAUCACGUUAUCUAGAGGAAGGAGAAGUCGUAACAAGGUAACGGUAGGUGAACCUGCCGUUGGAUCAGUU